RNAcentral lists this ribosomal RNA (381 nucleotides) under marine Metazoa environmental sample. RNAcentral describes it as "SSU rRNA". It matches the Rfam family "Eukaryotic small subunit ribosomal RNA", at positions 587 to 972 of the family's 1831-position model. Lineage: Eukaryota; Metazoa. The record is from RNAcentral.
AGCUCCAAUAGCGUAUAUUAAAGUUGUUGCGGUUAAAAAGAUCGUAGUUGGAUUUCUGCCGAGGACGACCGGUCCGCCCUCUGGGUGAGCAUCUGGAUCGGCGUGGGCAUCCUCUUGGGGAACGUAGCUGCACUUGACUGUGUGGUGCGGUAUCCAGGACCUUUACUUUGAGGAAAUUAGAAUGUUUCAAGCAGGCUCACGCCUUGAAUACAUUAGCAUGGAAUAAUAAGAUAGGACCACGGUUCUAUUUUGUCGGUUUCUAGAGCUGAGGUAAUGAUUGGUAGGGAUAGUUGGGGGCGUUCGUAUUUAUCUGUCAGAUGUGAAAUUCUUGGAUUUGUUAAAGACGGACUACUGCGAAAGCAUUUGCCAAGGAUGUCCUCA